ACACCACCUCAACUCUUCAUGGUCUUCCGUGAUGAGCUUGGACUUUGGGGGUUUUGCUGGCCUGCGGUCAGCUCCUCUAAAAUGAAUCAGCUUGCCGGUGUUUGGUGGGCAUCACAGGUGUGAUAAACUAUCUACGCUUGUGGUUUUCCCACCAGGUAACCUUCAGCAGUGGAGGUGCACUGGAGCUCACAGAUGUCUCUCCCCAGUGAGGACGACCCUUUGAAU
RNAcentral lists this unclassified non-coding RNA (225 nucleotides) under uncultured Tomentella. RNAcentral describes it as "sequence contains ITS2". Lineage: Eukaryota; Fungi; Basidiomycota; Agaricomycetes; Thelephorales; Thelephoraceae. The record is from RNAcentral.